RNAcentral lists this transfer RNA (85 nucleotides) under Bacteroidota bacterium. RNAcentral describes it as "Bacteroidetes bacterium (groundwater metagenome) tRNA-Ser". It matches the Rfam family "tRNA". From Rfam's summary of the family: Transfer RNA (tRNA) molecules are approximately 80 nucleotides in length. Their secondary structure includes four short double-helical elements and three loops (D, anti-codon, and T loops). Further hydrogen bonds mediate the characteristic L-shaped molecular structure. tRNAs have two regions of fundamental functional importance: the anti-codon, which is responsible for specific mRNA codon recognition, and the 3' end, to which the tRNAs corresponding amino acid is attached (by aminoacyl-tRNA synthetases). tRNAs cope with the degeneracy of the genetic code in two manners: having more than one tRNA (with a specific anti-codon) for a particular amino acid; and 'wobble' base-pairing, i.e. permitting non-standard base-pairing at the 3rd anti-codon position. Lineage: Bacteria; Pseudomonadati; Bacteroidota. The record is from RNAcentral.
GGAGGGAUGGCAGAGCGGUUGAUUGCACCUGUCUUGAAAACAGGCCUGGGUAAUACCAGCGGGGGUUCGAAUCCCUCUCCCUCCG